CGGUAGCGUCGUGUCAGCAGCCGGGGCAAUCGGGGGGGUGCAAGGGUCGUACGGGUUUAAUAGGCGGCAAGCGCUCGGAGGCGGUUUCAUGCGUCGUGCGUGAAAGCCCUCGGGUCAACUGGGGGUGGUCGGGCGAUACGGUGGAACUCGAGGCCAGUAGGGGGACGCGGAAUUCCGGGUGUAGUGGUGGAAUGCGUAGAGAUCCGGAGGAACACCAGCGGCGAAGGCGGCGUCCUGGACUGGUACUGACGCUCAGGAGCGAAAGCGUGGGGAGCGAUCCGGAUUAGAUACCCGAGUAGUC
RNAcentral lists this ribosomal RNA (301 nucleotides) under uncultured Acidianus sp. RNAcentral describes it as "bacterial SSU rRNA". It matches the Rfam family "Bacterial small subunit ribosomal RNA", at positions 495 to 795 of the family's 1533-position model. Lineage: Archaea; Thermoproteati; Thermoproteota; Thermoprotei; Sulfolobales; Sulfolobaceae. The record is from RNAcentral.